GAGAAUGAGGAAGAGAGGGAACGGGGAUGAUGGGGAAAGAACCAGGAUCUGAAAGCAAGCUCAGAGGGAAGCUGCAGCCAAAUCAGCUGAGACCAUCUUUCCUGAGACCUACCGUCUAAACAGCAGGAAGGAGAUCUGUUCAACCCAGGGGGAUGGCUGAGCCCUUUGUUGUGAUGGCCACAUCAGUCCUUCUGCCUGAACGAGGGGUUGGUUUGAAGGGGCCUGGGUGGAAAGAGCUCAAGGAGAAAGCCAAUCAGAAGCCCGUCAAGAAGAGUUGGAGGUCAGAUUCUGGGCGGUGAUGAAAGAGAGCCAGAGGUAAGAUGCUCUGGAAGAGUUCAGCCCCUGGUGAUGAUUGAGAGGACGCCCAAUGUAGGAUGAAGCAGAGACACCCAAGGCAGCUGGGGGACGAGUUCUAGGAGGAGCCUUGUUUGUCUGGAGGCCUGAAGAAAGCAAACUAACCUAGAAGCUGGAAAAGCAGACUAGAAUCAGGGAGCACCCCUUCCCGGCUGGCUUCCUCUGUGCACUCCUCCCAGCCCAGGCUUGGCUUCUUACCUAGUCAAACACCCAAGAAGCUGUGGGCAGGAGGGUGAACUGGCCACCCUGGCCCCACCUCCCAUCUCCACUGGACUGAGGCCGCUGCGGAUUUGUGCCAAGACCAACAGGAAGAAUCCGUUUCAGGAAAUUCAAAGUCCUAGUGGAAAGGGUCUGCAAAAGCAACAGCACAAGGAACCGGGGGCUCACCUGCUCUCUGGGAUGCAGACCUAUCUGCUCCAGGAGCCACAGUUCAAUGGCCAGAUGCUCAAGGGCCUUCAUUCCGGGGAUGGUGGGAAAAUUGGGGUGGAGGCUCAAGGGGGCUUAGCGCACAGUGAGCGCACCGUGGACUUAGCGGAUGGUUUGUUGUUGGCCGUCCCACACUCCAAACAAUGUGAAUGUGUGCAGAGCAAAGAGCCUUCUCCUGACAGACACCCCAUAGUAGU
This is a long non-coding RNA of Rhinolophus ferrumequinum (greater horseshoe bat), 977 nucleotides long. RefSeq lists it as uncharacterized. NCBI's taxonomy places the organism in Eukaryota, Metazoa, Chordata, Mammalia, Chiroptera, Rhinolophidae. The transcript is spliced from 3 exons. The record is from RefSeq and is a predicted model, not a curated record.